This 274-nucleotide ribosomal RNA is filed under the name uncultured bacterium. RNAcentral describes it as "partial 16S ribosomal RNA". It matches the Rfam family "Bacterial small subunit ribosomal RNA", at positions 523 to 796 of the family's 1533-position model. The record is from RNAcentral.
AUACGAAAGGUGCAAGCGUUGUUCGGAUUUACUGGGCGUAAAGAGAGUGUAGGUUGUUUAUUAAGUCGGAUGUGAAAUCCCGGGGCUCAACCUCGGAACUGCAUUCGAUACUGGUAGACUAGAGUUCGGGAGGGGUAAGCGGAAUUCCGCGUGUAGCAGUGAAAUGCGUAGAUAUGCGGAGGAACACCUGAGGCGAAGGCGGCUUACUGGACCGAUACUGACACUGAGACUCGAAAGCGUGGGUAGCAAACAGGAUUAGAAACCCUAGUAGUCC